AUAUCAAUAAGCGGAGGAAAAGAAACUAACAAGGAUUCCCCUAGUAACGGCGAGUGAAGCGGGAAGAGCUCAAAUUUGUAAGCUGGCCGGUCCCCGGUCCGCCUUGUAACCUGUAGAGCUAGAACUGUGCCGGUCCUCUCAUGAGUUUGCUGGAAUGCAACGUCAAAGAGGGUGAGAACCCCGUUCUUGGUGAGGAUCCCGGUGCUCUGUGUUCUGGUUUCGAAGAGUCGAGUUGUUUGGGAAUGCAGCUCAAAUUGGGUGGUAGAUUCCAUCUAAAGCUAAAUAUUGGCGAGAGACCGAUAGCGCACAAGUA
Molecule: ribosomal RNA, 313 nt
Filed under: uncultured eukaryote
Lineage: Eukaryota
Description: partial large subunit ribosomal RNA
Rfam family: Eukaryotic large subunit ribosomal RNA
Source: RNAcentral